Molecule: long non-coding RNA, 575 nt
Filed under: Zonotrichia albicollis (white-throated sparrow)
Lineage: Eukaryota; Metazoa; Chordata; Aves; Passeriformes; Passerellidae
Description: lncRNA (ENSZALG00000017218.1)
Source: RNAcentral
UUUCUUAUGUGGUCUCUGUGGGUUUAGCUCACUAUGCUAGCUGAACUUUGCUGAACUAAUAUGUUAUUGUUUUCAGGACAAUGAUUGCUGUCUGAACAGGCUGGCCUCAUGGGGGCAGGUUUCAAGUGGCUGCUGUGUGGGAUACUGGCAGCAUGUGGAAUACAGGGCCUGAAGGAGAUGCUCAGCACCCAGCAUUACAGGAUUCUGCUUUUUUCUUGACUUUGGUUCUGCUUUUUAAACACUGACCCCAGGAGAAGCUCUGCAGCAUGAGAAGAAAGCUCUUCUGCUCUUUGUCCUUUGGAAUACAGAGAAAACCAGCUAGAGCCCCAAAAUGGCUUUUAUUUGCACCUACCUGCUGCCUCUCCAUCUCUUCCAGCUGAGAACUCAGGACACUGUAGCCCAGAGGAGGAAAACUCUGUAGAGGACACAGAACAGCCUAUGCAUAUCAUCAGCUUGAAGAAGAUACCAAAUGAUCCCAUUAUCAAGGUGAUAUAUACAUUAACACAAGUUUCAGCACUAUAGUCUUUCCUAUUUAAUAGCUAAGAAUAGAACAGAAGAUAAUUAUCUAAUUUGCU